Long non-coding RNA from Gavialis gangeticus (Gharial), 1277 nucleotides. RefSeq lists it as uncharacterized. The transcript is spliced from 3 exons. NCBI's taxonomy places the organism in Eukaryota, Metazoa, Chordata, Crocodylia, Gavialidae. The record is from RefSeq and is a predicted model, not a curated record.
GGGAAGGGAAGCUGAGGUAUGGAAAGUGCCUGAUGGAAAUUGGUGAAAAACAGGCAUGAGAACGGUGAGCACCCCUUUUCCUGACAUCAGUGAGCUCUGCACAGUGCCUUGUGGAAAAUGCAUAGUCCUAAAUUUCUGCCCUUGGCCAUGGACCCUAAUGGCUGACUCCAAAAGAUGACAUCCUUCUGAUCUUUACCCAUGGGAACUGUUGAGAUUUAAGAAAAUCCUUAAACUCUUUGGACUUCAAAAGAAGCUCUAAUAAUGCUCUACAGGCAGUAAUCAACUAAGGCAUUUUCCAAGAAAAAUUUAUUAACUUAAUUUCCAUGUCAGAGCUGUAGGAAACACGCCCCCCUACUUUCACCUGUUUCCUUGAGAACUUUUCACCUCUAGUCCCGCCAGCCUCCACAUCUCCAGACACUAGCCUCAGCAACCAGUUCAAAAGGUCACCGUGGAGUGAAGUGAGGAAACAACCUUCAAGGCAUGCCUGACACAACCCUGCAUAAACUACUACUUGUACUGGUUGUUUUUUUAUAUUAAGUAAACCCUCCGCCCUCCCCUGGCUUUGAUUUAUGUAGUUUGCUCUAGAAAAAAGGUUUCUUUAAAACUUCUAUCAGACAUAUAGGGCUGUAACUAUAUCUCUUAUCUUGAGGGUGAUUCUUAUUCCUCACUACUCUUACCUGUGAAUUGUCUGAUGAUACAAAAGACUUAUUGCUGUUGUUGUAUGGUUAAAGAUGUUCAUCUAAAUCAAAACCCCAUGGGUGAACUUACUGCUCUGCUGACUGAAAAGGAUCUGUGCCAUUAGAUGCCAUCUGAUAACCUGCCCGGUGAAUAAAGCUGAACUCUGAUGCUCUUCAGACCUUUAAAUCUGAAUCUGAAUCUUGCACUUGGCAACAUAAUCUAUCAGAAGCCAAAUGAAAACCCCAGACCUGCCCCCCCGCCCCACCCCCUCCCAAAUUUAAGGAUAUUUAGCUUUGAUUCAUGUCCAGAGACAUUGAGACUUAGGUUUAUUGAACUAUAGUCUGGAGGCCUGCCUUCAAAUUCAAUCAAGCCUGUCUUGUUAUACAUUUAUUUGCUGUGGUUUUUCUCUUUCCCAGUCCCAGUCUGUUUCAUUUCAGUGGAAUACCUUGUCAUAAUUGUUGACUGUGAGCUCUCGGAUAGAAUGAAAAUCUUUCUUUUAAUUACUUUUCACAAAACCUAGACCAACAAAUCUCUGACUCCAACUAGGACUUUUAUGUGCUACUCCUGUAUAAUUAAAAUAAUUAUUGGUUAAAUACUGA